Petromyzon marinus (sea lamprey) is the source of this 119-nucleotide small nucleolar RNA. RefSeq annotates it as small nucleolar RNA SNORD22. The record is from RefSeq and is a predicted model, not a curated record. NCBI's taxonomy places the organism in Eukaryota, Metazoa, Chordata, Hyperoartia, Petromyzontiformes, Petromyzontidae.
CCCCUAUGAUGAACACUCUUAGCGGAGGGGUUGCACUGGCUGCAGAACCUGAAAAGGUGAACCCACUGCAACUGGCAACCCUACAAGAGGAUACUUGUUCUUUGAACAGUCUGAGGGGG